CCUACGGGUGGCAGCAGUGAGGAAUAUUGGUCAAUGGGCGGAAGCCUGAACCAGCCAAGUAGCGUGCAGGAUGACGGCUCUACGGGUUGUAAACUGCUUUUAUAUGGGAAUAACGCGACUUACGUGUUGGUCUUUGUAUGUACCGUAUGAAUAAGCAUCGGCUAACUCCGUGCCAGCAGCCGCGGUAAUACGGAAGGUCCGGGCGUUAUCCGGAUUUGUUGGGUUUAAAGGGUGCGUAGGUCGUUAAUUAAGCGAGCGGUGAAAGGUUGUGGCUCAACCAUGGCCUUGCCGCUGAAACGGGUUGACGUGAGUAUAUUUGAGGGAGGCGGAAGGCGUGGUGUAGAGGUGAAAUGCAGAGAUAGCAAGCAGAACUCCGAUUGAGAAGGCAGCUUACUAAACUAGAAAUGACACUGAAGCACGAAAGCGUGGGGAUCAAACAGGAUGAGAUACGCUUGUAGUC
RNAcentral lists this ribosomal RNA (460 nucleotides) under uncultured bacterium. RNAcentral's name for it is "partial 16S ribosomal RNA". It matches the Rfam family "Bacterial small subunit ribosomal RNA", at positions 338 to 795 of the family's 1533-position model. The record is from RNAcentral.